This is a long non-coding RNA of Sceloporus undulatus (fence lizard), 715 nucleotides long. RefSeq lists it as uncharacterized. The record is from RefSeq and is a predicted model, not a curated record. Lineage: Eukaryota; Metazoa; Chordata; Lepidosauria; Squamata; Phrynosomatidae. The transcript has 3 exons.
UUUCAGCUCUCACAAGUUCCUUGCUGUUGUGUGUCCCCAAGUCAUUUUGGACUCUGAGGUGACCCUAGCAGAGGGUUUUCUUGGCAAGUUUGUUCUGAGCUGGUUUGCCCUUGCCUUACUUUGAGGCUGAAAGAGUGUGACUUGGCCAAGGUCAAGGUUUUUAUGCUUCAGCGGAGAUUCGAACUCUGAUCUCCAGAAUCCUAGUCCAAUGUUCAAAUGACUACACACCAUGCUGUCUCUCUCAAUCAGUAAUGAAAGGAAGGAGAGAGAAUUGUUAAGUACCACUCCUUUUUUCUUUUCUUUUCAUUAUUUGUACUUCAUAGUAGGUGGGCGUCUUGGAGAGCCUUUCCUGACCCUGUGGAAAAAUGGGGCAGAAAUAUCUGAAAUAAAGCUUAAAAAAAAACCCUACAACAAUGCCAGCCAUUUGCUUUGCUUGAAACCAAACCUAUAUGGAGCAAUUCCCCUUUUUUGGGCCACCUCUCCUCAGAAGAGAAACCCUGUAUUUAAAGCUCACCUGUGCCUUAAAUUUGGUGCUUCUUUGUCCUGAUCUUACACCUGCCCACUAUGACACCUAACACCUGCUUCUUUUCUCUUCUUCUGGUUUCUGAAACAUUAUAAAAGAUCAGCCAACAGCUUCAAAAGAGUUAAAAUUAAAUGGUCUAGAAAAAUAUGUAACGAGGAAUGGAAUUCUGUUACAACAGCCAGAACUGGGAUG